RNAcentral lists this ribosomal RNA (997 nucleotides) under Salmonella enterica. Its description in RNAcentral is "partial 23S ribosomal RNA". It matches the Rfam family "Bacterial large subunit ribosomal RNA", at positions 711 to 1622 of the family's 2925-position model. The record is from RNAcentral. RNAcentral also lists the same sequence under 2 other names. Lineage: Bacteria; Pseudomonadati; Pseudomonadota; Gammaproteobacteria; Enterobacterales; Enterobacteriaceae.
AGACCCGAAACCCGGUGAUCUAGCCAUGGGCAGGUUGAAGGUUGGGUAACACUAACUGGAGGACCGAACCGACUAAUGUUGAAAAAUUAGCGGAUGACCUGUGGCUGGGGGUGAAAGGCCAAUCAAACCGGGAGAUAGCUGGUUCUCCCCGAAAGCUAUUUAGGUAGCGCCUCGUGAAUUCAUCUCCGGGGGUAGAGCACUGUUUCGGCUAGGGGGCCAUCCCGGCUUACCAACCCGAUGCAAACUGCGAAUACCGGAGAAUGUUAUCACGGGAGACACACGGCGGGUGCUAACGUCCGUCGUGAAGAGGGAAACAACCCAGACCGCCAGCUAAGGUCCCAAAGUCAUGGUUAAGUGGGAAACGAUGUGGGAAGGCCCAGACAGCCAGGAUGUUGGCUUAGAAGCAGCCAUCAUUUAAAGAAAGCGUAAUAGCUCACUGGUCGAGUCGGCCUGCGCGGAAGAUGUAACGGGGCUAAACCAUGCACCGAAGCUGCGGCAGCGAACGUAUCACCCAAGACAACUUUACGGAGUUGACGAUUGACGGAGCGAAGCGACGUCAAAGCGUUCAUUAAAGUCGAGUUGGCUUAGGGAUACGUUCGUUGGGUAGGGGAGCGUUCUGUAAGCCUGUGAAGGUGUGUCGUGAGGCAUGCUGGAGGUAUCAGAAGUGCGAAUGCUGACAUAAGUAACGAUAAAGCGGGUGAAAAGCCCGCUCGCCGGAAGACCAAGGGUUCCUGUCCAACGUUAAUCGGGGCAGGGUGAGUCGACCCCUAAGGCGAGGCCGAAAGGCGUAGUCGAUGGGAAACGGGUUAAUAUUCCCGUACUUGGUGUUACUGCGAAGGGGGGACGGAGAAGGCUAUGUUGGCCGGGCGACGGUUGUCCCGGUUUAAGCGUGUAGGUGUGUGUUCCAGGUAAAUCCGGUUCACUUUAACACUGAGGCGUGACGACGAGGCACUACGGUGCUGAAGCAACAAAUGCCCUGCUUCCAGGAAAAGCCUCU